GGCGUCUCCGUUAAUUUAUCAUCAGCUACAGCUGCCACUCAUUACCUACUCUCUAUUUAUUGCCCUGUCUUUCAUCUUUUGUUUGUCAGAUCGUUUUUGAAGCUCCCUGUGUUGCAUGCCUGGUCUCUCGUCGUUGUUUCUGCCUGUUUCUCAGCUACGCUGGAUCGCUUCUCUCCUGGGACCCCACCCACUAACCUCUCCACUGGAUCGCCCAUCUCAGUUCCUGCGUCACACUCUCCUGCUGUCCAAUUCCACCUCUACUUCCUGGCCACCCCUGACGUUAUCUCUCUGCAUCCAGUUGUCCUAUUGGUUUUCCUCUUAUCAUCUGUAUCACAAUUCACUGAAAUAUAUUUCACAUGCAUUUGCUUCCUCGCCCAAUUCACUGAUGCAUUUGUUUAGAACUGUUUUGGCUUGCAUAUGGUUCUUGAUCUGCGCAUAUUUCUCUUCUGAUACACAUGGUUGGAUUUGAAAAAACCAAGCAACAGUCUUGUCAAGUCUUUGAACUGAUCAUUUGAAAUGAUCAGUCUAUAAUGAUGGAUUUCAUUAUAAACAAAUGCAGACGAUUUAGAUUACUUGUGGAUUAUUGUGAUGUUUUUAUCAGCUGUUUGGACUCUCAUUCUGAUGGCACCCAUUGACUGCAGAGGAACCAUUGGUGAGCUAGAGAUGUAAUGCUACAUUUCUCUAAAUCUGAAAUGAUGAAGAAAUAAUCUUUAUAUCUUGGAUGUCCUGAGAGUGAGUACAUUUUCAGCAGAUUUUCAGUUUUGGGUGAACUAUUCAUUGAACUAAUAAUAACUCUGCCUCUACCACCUUGAAAUCAAAGUUUGGCACCACUGGCAUUAUGUUGGAUUGACAGUUUUGGACUGAGACACAGAGUGAUGUGCCGUGUACAGACAUUUGAAUUUCACACAUUGACUAAAACUCCUGGCUGUGUCUUUCUGGAGAUACUCAUCUUUGACGCUUACCCGCCAGUGUCAGGGAUAAUCUUUGUCUCACAUAUCCCCAAACAGCACAAAGGAUUUUUGAUCGCUACAAAUCAUUUUGUCUGACACACUGGUGAUGAAAUACAGCACUGAUAGUGUGAGAUGUCAUUUAAUUUGAGCUGGAGCUUCUAUAAAAUGACUCUUCUGUCUAUAA
Cyprinus carpio carpio is the source of this 1134-nucleotide long non-coding RNA. The record is from Ensembl. Lineage: Eukaryota; Metazoa; Chordata; Actinopteri; Cypriniformes; Cyprinidae.